GACGAACGCUGGCGGCGUGCUUAACACAUGCAAGUCGAACGGUGAAGCGCCUUCCUUUUUGGUGGGUGUGGAUGAGUGGCGAACGGGUGAGUAACACGUGAGUAACCUGCCCCCUUCUUCUGGAUAACCGCAUGAAAGUGUGGCUAAUACGGGAUAUUCUGGGUCUGUCGCAUGAUGGGUCUGGGAAAGAUAUUGUUUCGGUGGGGGAUGGGCUCGCGGCCUAUCAGCUUGUUGGUGGGGUGAUGGCCUACCAAGGCGGUGACGGGUAGCCGGCCUGAGAGGGUGGACGGUCACACUGGGACUGAGACACGGCCCUGACUCCUACGAGAGGCAGCAGUGGGGAAUAUUGCACAAUGGGCGCAAGCCUGAUGCAGCGACGCCGCGUGAGGGAUGGAGGCCUUCGGGUUGUGAACCUCUUUCGCCAGUGAAGCAGGCCUGCCUCGUUUGUGGGUGGGUUGACGGUAGCUGGAUAAGAAGCGCCGGCUAACUACGUG
This 494-nucleotide ribosomal RNA is filed under the name uncultured bacterium. RNAcentral's name for it is "partial 16S ribosomal RNA". It matches the Rfam family "Bacterial small subunit ribosomal RNA", at positions 28 to 507 of the family's 1533-position model. The record is from RNAcentral.